This 660-nucleotide ribosomal RNA is filed under the name uncultured organism. Its description in RNAcentral is "bacterial SSU rRNA". It matches the Rfam family "Bacterial small subunit ribosomal RNA", at positions 1 to 663 of the family's 1533-position model. The record is from RNAcentral.
GGCUUAGAGUUUGAUCAUGGCUCAGGAUGAACGCUGGCGGCGUGCCUAACACGUGCAAGUCGAACGAAGCGGUUUUGUGGAAGUUUUCGGAUGGAAGCGAAAUUGACUGAGUGGCGGACGGGUGAGUAACGCGUGGAUAACCUGCCUCAUACAGGGGGAUAACAGUUAGAAAUGACUGCUAAUACCGCAUAAGCGCACGGGAACGCAUGUUCCUGUGUGAAAAGCCGAGACGGUAUGAGAUGGAUCCGCAUCUGAUUAGCUAGUUGGUGAGGUAACGGCCCACCAAGGCAACGAUCAGUAGCCGACCUGAGAGGGUGACCGGCCACAUUGGGACUGAGACACGGCCCAAACUCCUACGGGAGGCAGCAGUGGGGAAUAUUGCACAAUGGGGGAAACCCUGAUGCAGCGACGCCGCGUGAGUGAAGAAGUAUUUCGGUAUGUAAAGCUCUAUCAGCAGGGAAGAGAAUGACGGUACCUGACUAAGAAGCCCCGGCUAACUACGUGCCAGCAGCCGCGGUAAUACGUAGGGGGCAAGCGUUAUCCGGAUUUACUGGGUGUAAAGGGAGCGUAGACGGCAUAGCAAGUCUGAAGUGAAAUACCCGGGCUCAACCCGGGAGCUGCUUUGGAAACUGUUAGGCUGGAGUGCUGGAGAGGCAAGCG